RNAcentral lists this microRNA (22 nucleotides) under Mus musculus (house mouse). Its description in RNAcentral is "mmu-miR-5101". Lineage: Eukaryota; Metazoa; Chordata; Mammalia; Rodentia; Muridae. The record is from miRBase by way of RNAcentral.
UUUGUUUGUUUUGCUGAUGCAG